Molecule: long non-coding RNA, 458 nt
Filed under: Linum usitatissimum (flax)
Lineage: Eukaryota; Viridiplantae; Streptophyta; Magnoliopsida; Malpighiales; Linaceae
Description: long non-coding RNA (LUSI_LNC001641)
Source: RNAcentral
UGUGGCUAAUUACCACUAACGAUGGCAUACCUCAUCCUGCCAAAACAAGGUAAUAUUUCUUGGGAAGAGGGAAGCCAAAAAGCAAAGGACCUACACGGACAACAAGGGAAGAGAUGACAUCUUUCGACACUUGUGGUGUUAGCAAAACAAAAAAACUUCAUUAUCGACAACAGUUCUAUUCAGAACAUAGAGAUGCCACAUUGAUGUCAAACAGUAAUUUACGUACUCAAUCAACAUAUAUGGCAACGAUAAAAGAAACUUAGUGUUGCAAAGCUAAUUAGUGUACAGCACGAUUGCAAGCAGCUCAGCUUCUGCACUGUUAUAUGUUACGGUUGGCUGCCACUAUACGUUAAAAUGAAAAAUAAUAGAAGAAAUGUGUGUGCAGUGGCAUAUUCACUUCAGUAUCUUGUAAUUCUUGUUGUUCGUGUUUGUGGUGAGUGCUAAUAAUCGAGAAGAGA